This is a non-coding RNA of Zonotrichia albicollis (white-throated sparrow), 2497 nucleotides long. NCBI's taxonomy places the organism in Eukaryota, Metazoa, Chordata, Aves, Passeriformes, Passerellidae. The record is from RefSeq and is a predicted model, not a curated record.
AGGCAAAUGGGGUGUCACCAGGGAGAUGCUGCAAGAUGGGGAGGGGGAGGGGGAGAUGGAAAAAUAAGGUUGACGUGAAGAGGAGUAGACAGGAGCUUAGGGACAUGGCACAACAACAAAAUACCUCAGUCUGUGGCAUGGUUCCAUUUCUCUCUUAUAAAUCUUGCAGUGCAGACACAAUUCUCAGUAGCAUCAUCUUGCCUCUAGAGAACAGGAGCACCUGCACCAUCUGUCAGCCUGGUCCUGUCUGAGGCAGGAGGUCCCUGUGCUGUUUGCUGGUACCUCGGCUGUACAUUCAUCUCAAACCACUGCACAAUCAGUGCUUGUCCCCUGCUGCUUUUGACAGAACUGGAAAGGUUUGAUUCACUUCUCUGCUCAGGAUCCCUCAAAGGUUGGAUUUGAAAAUGAGAGGAGAACUGGCAUGGGUGGAAUUACUGCUGCUGAAUUAAAGUUUAUCUCUUUAGCCCUCUCACUUACAAAACACCGUCAGUGCCAUAAGGCAGCAUUGCUUUGGCUCUUUGCCCCAGGCUGUGCUGCUGCCUCAGACUUGCAGGGUGAGGGCUGUGAGGUGAUGCCAAGGGCUGCCUUCCACCCUUCUCCACACUGUGAGUGCCUGCAGGCCUUUCUGCAGGGUAGGAGCCACCAGGAUUAUUCAUGCUUCCUCCUGUCCUUGGUAGCAAAGGAUUACCUGCAAUGAAAGUGGGAUUCUUCCCACUGCAAGCAAUGUGGCUCCUGAGUAGUGCUUUGCUGUUUAACCAGAGAGAUGGAUUUUGCAAAUAAGCUGGAGGAGGAAGUAGUGGCACAUUAUGCUUAUGUUUUUGUGAUUUGUUUUUUGUUGUUUUCCUUUAACAAAACCAAGCUUCUUUUUAUAUGUCAGUCAUUUUUAUUGUACUGUCAUUUUGUUUGUUGUCACAUCUGUCUCAUUUUGCUGCUUAUUAGACACACAUUAGAUAUUCAAAAUCAAUCACUGGCAUUCUUGAGAUUUCAUAGCAACAAAUUGUACUACAGAGAGAGAAAGAGGGAGGAGCAAUGUUGUGCAGGAAUAAUGUCAGUAAUGCCAGGUAUUUCUGUGAGACGGCAACUAUUUUCUUUGUAGUUGUCAUUCUCUCGCAAACAAGGAAGGUGUGCUCAGACUUCAUCUCCAACAGCACUUGUUAGGGUGUCACUGUAACCAGAUACACAAACAUCAAGGCCCAGCCUUCAAGACCCUGUGGAGGUCCCCUAGGCCUCCUCCCUCUGCAAGAGAAGCCGGUGCCUGAAGCUCUGGACCUUCCUACUUGUCAUCCAAAGCGGGAUUUCCAGCCUUGUGAGGAGGGUGGGCAGCUCGUGUCCAGCACAGAGACCAUGUGGGCAGCUGCCAGUGAAAGUGAUCCCUGAAUUGCCUGCAGCUCCUGUCCUGCAGAACCAGCAGCCUCCAGGCUUCCCACACUCAUGUGCCAAUAGAUGCUUUCUUCAGAAGAAAAGAAUUUGGAGAAUGUUGAGGAAGAGGGGAAAAGUGCAGGAGAAACGGAGAGCUGGAUCCUCAUCUAACAGAGGACCUGCAUCUGCUUCUCUGUUGGAUGUAGCGGGUAGUACAAGAAAACCCCCAUAACGCUUUGUCUGUAGUGAAGCAAUGCACCAAAAGACCUGUUUUAAUGCUUCAAAUUCAGCACCCCUGUGAACUCCAAUCUCACACCUGCUCCGUGCGAGAUGGGUUAUGGAGAGUGGAGACAAGCGGGUGCAUCCAGCGGAGCCACUGCUUUGCUCCUCUCCCUGCCUGCAGGACAGGCUCUGGCUGCCUGUGAGCUGGUGUGGCUGCAGACUGGGGCUGUAAAACUGUGCUGUGUGACCUGAUGAUCUCCCUGGAGUUUCCUGGUGUUUCUGUUUUAUGGUCCUUUCACACCUUCCCAGCCUUCCCAGUGCUUGCACGACUGGAAUGCAGCACCAGACUCCAGGCCAAGACAGGUGAAAUGCUUGUAAAGUAACUGGGAAAUGAAAGAUUUUGCUCCCCUCCUCACCCAUUUUGGAUUUCCAUGGGAUUGCUAGCAUGACAGGGUUAUAGUUAUAUUUGAAGGAGCACAAGAUGUGAAUCACUGUGUGUAGGCUGGUAUUUCAAAUGUGACUGACAGUUGCUUUUCAACACUUGAAUAUCAAUAUGGUGCUGAUGAAGAAGAAUGAAACCUUGCAUGCUCAGAACUUCCUUACAGAAGAGUGCCCCUUAUAUGAUACAGCUGCUGUCUGGUUUAGUGUUUUGUUUUGUUUUUCUUCUAAUCCAAAGAGACCAAAAGAAAACUACACAGACUGGAAGGUUGAAGAAUAAACUACAGAACCAACAGGAUUGUGAAGACUUUUGGCUGCUGUUUCCACUGGGCUGUAAUAGUUAACAGCUCAAAAGAAAACCUGAGGAUACAAAAUCAAAAAAGGGGUGUCUUCCAAAAGUUUGCCUUCUGGUGGCUUUGUAAGAUCCAUUAUGGAGCAGCUGGCCCUGGUUUCUCUAAGCAAAGGAUGUGAGCAGCUG